Pseudophryne corroboree (corroboree frog) is the source of this 683-nucleotide long non-coding RNA. RefSeq lists it as uncharacterized. The record is from RefSeq and is a predicted model, not a curated record. Lineage: Eukaryota; Metazoa; Chordata; Amphibia; Anura; Myobatrachidae. The transcript has 3 exons.
UGUGUGUGUAGGGCAUAGGUGCCGAUUCCGUGGAUGCUCGGGCCCGGUAGCACCCACGGAAAAUGAUGAGCAUCCAGUGCCGGUGCUCAGGGCAGCAGGCCCAGGGCACCGUACCGCACGGACAGCACAGCGGCAGCAGCACACUACAGCCCUGGAAGCUGCCUGGAUUUCCAAUCCCCACUGCCCUGGAGCAAAGGUGACGGAGAAUAGGCACGGACCAGUUAACAUCCUAGGUGCGGAUUGGCCAAGGCUCCUCACUGGGAAGAUUUUGGCAUUUGUCCCCGUCCCCCUGUUUGAUCACUCUCGUUAGAUGGACAUUUACUACCUGCCGUCGGCUCUGCACCUCCUGCUAUGGGAUGGGAAACUGGAGGAAAAUCCUGUAAAUCUUCUGGAGUUUGUGUAGGUUUGCUCUCUUUGCUCUCAGGAUGGAUAGAAGUUUUCCCAUGUACCAAAUCAACAGAACAGGUCACCAUAGUAACCACCUGGCUUCCUCUACACUUCCUGAUGGUUGGUCACGUGCUGCGUUCCACACAGCCAGCGCCGGAUGCGGUCACAGUGAGGGAGGAGUUCAGGUGACCUGACUGAAGGCUGCGGCAAGCAAAGCGGCCGGCACUGUGACAUCAUCGGACGGGGACUUGAUGCGACCAGAAGGUGGGCUAGGCGGCCUGGACGGAGUUCACUAU